GAGGGUAGAGCUCAGUGGUAGAGCACGUGCCUAGCAAACCCAAGGUUUGGGUUCAGUCCCCAGUACCUCCA
This 71-nucleotide transfer RNA is filed under the name Camelus bactrianus (Bactrian camel). It matches the Rfam family "tRNA". From Rfam's summary of the family: Transfer RNA (tRNA) molecules are approximately 80 nucleotides in length. Their secondary structure includes four short double-helical elements and three loops (D, anti-codon, and T loops). Lineage: Eukaryota; Metazoa; Chordata; Mammalia; Artiodactyla; Camelidae. RNAcentral also lists the same sequence under 1 other name. The record is from Rfam by way of RNAcentral.